GACGAACGCUGGCGGCGUGCCUAAUACAUGCAAGUCGAACGCUUCUUUCCUCCCGAGUGCUUGCACUCAAUUGGAAAGAGGAGUGGCGGACGGGUGAGUAACACGUGGGUAACCUACCCAUCAGAGGGGGAUACACUUGGAAACAGGUGCUAAUACCGCAUAACAGUUUAUGCCGCAUGGCAUAAGAGUGAAAGGCGCUUUCGGGUGUCGCUGAUGGAUGGACCCGCGGUGCAUUAGCUAGUUGGUGAGGUAACGGCUCACCAAGGCCACGAUGCAUAGCCGACCUGAGAGGGUGAUCGGCCACACUGGGACUGAGACACGGCCCAGACUCCUACGGGAGGCAGCAGUAGGGAAUCUUCGGCAAUGGACGAAAGUCUGACCGAGCAACGCCGCGUGAGUGAAGAAGGUUUUCGGAUCGUAAAACUCUGUUGUUAGAGAAGAACAAGGACGUUAGUAACUGAACGUCCCCUGACGGUAUCUAACCAGAAAGCCACGGCUAACUACGUG
RNAcentral lists this ribosomal RNA (507 nucleotides) under uncultured bacterium. RNAcentral's name for it is "partial 16S ribosomal RNA". It matches the Rfam family "Bacterial small subunit ribosomal RNA", at positions 28 to 507 of the family's 1533-position model. The record is from RNAcentral.